UAAGCAUAUAAGUAAGCGGUGGAAAAUGAACCAAAUGGGAUUCCUUUAGUAAUUGCGAAUGAACAAGGAUGUGCUCAGCUUGACAAAUGGAGUUUUUGAGCUUUGAAUUGUAAUUUUGCAAUGCAUCACCAGCGGAGGUACAGUUGCAAGCCUUUUGAAAGACAGCGCCAUUGAGGGUGAAAUUCCUUUUUGUCUUCUGCAACCUUUGUGCACGGUAUGUAUUUGGUGAAUCACAUUCCUCGGCAUUGGAAUGCAAAUUGGGUGGUAAAUUUCACGCAAGGGAAAAUAUAUUAUUGAGUCUGAUAAUGAACAAGUACCAUGAGGGAAAUAUGCAAAGGACUUUGAAAAGAAAAUUAAAAGAGCUUGCAUUUGCUAAACAGAAAACUAGCAGAAGUGCUUUAUCUUGGUAAGAUUGCUGCGCAUGGGUUUACUGUGUAAAUUGUAUGAGCAUUGGUUCUUACUUUGUGUGUCAAUUCCAUUGUCAAUUUUAAUAUCUUUGCUCAUGAAUUGUGAAAUGCUUGCGGGUGUUAGAUUGCAUGUGCAUUCAUUAAUUUGGACUUGGUGCAGUGCUUGGCAACAGCUUGCAUGUAGAGUGUGCGUGCAAUGUACAAUUGCGAUUGUCAGCUGUUGCCAACCACUUUUGUUGGCAAUGUGAUUCUGCUUGACCCGUCUUGAAAC
Molecule: ribosomal RNA, 678 nt
Filed under: Alexandrium pseudogonyaulax
Lineage: Eukaryota; Dinophyceae; Gonyaulacales; Pyrocystaceae
Description: LSU rRNA
Rfam family: Eukaryotic large subunit ribosomal RNA
Source: RNAcentral